GGCGGCGGCCGGCGAGGCCUGCGGGCUCAGGUCGGAGCCUGGAAACCCGGGAGUCCGCAGUCCCGGGAGCCCACCGCGCGGGGAGCUUGGCUUUCCCGAGAAGGAAAUAUGGAAAAUGAGCUUUGCGGCCCAGGACGGCUGAGUCGUGUUCCCGCGGCGCCAAGCACUGUUCCUUUAUGCCUAGGCCUCGCGAGCGGGGCCUGGAGAAACAAUGGCUUUUCUGUGUAGAAAGGGGGCCGGGAAAGACCUUUCUCCCGUAGAGCAAGGCUGGUUGCAAUUCUGGAAGCAUUGGUGACCCAUCAUUGGGUGGAAUUCUGGACCCAACUUCCUCACUAACAAGAUACUGGCAAAAUUUCAGCAGCGAUCAAGACCAACUUGCAGAGUAAUCACUGUGGUAGUUUGAAUGUAAAGUGUCCCCCACAGCCUCACGUGUUUGUGAUUAGUUCUCAUACUCAAUCCCCAGCUGGGAGAGCCUUUAGAAGGUAGACCCCACUGCUGAGGUGUGCCACAGCUCCAAGUCCAGUUCUAAGACUCAUUCUACCCAGAUAUGUGACUACAUGUGAGCUAGCUCAUUCUCUUUCUGCUUUUUGCCAGCUGCAGUGGCAAAAUGGUGAUGGCCAGCCUCUGCUCUGCCAUGCCAUGAUGAAACUUGCCCUUGAGACUAUAAGCUGAAAUAAACCCUUUCUUCCCAUCA
Molecule: long non-coding RNA, 694 nt
Organism: Jaculus jaculus (lesser Egyptian jerboa)
Lineage: Eukaryota; Metazoa; Chordata; Mammalia; Rodentia; Dipodidae
Exons: 2
Source: RefSeq, a predicted model, not a curated record